AUACGGAGGGUGCAAGCGUUACUCGGAAUCACUGGGCGUAAAGCGCGCGCAGGCGGGCUGAUAAGUUGGAUGUGAAAGCCUACGGCUCAACCGUAGAACUGCAUCCAAAACUGUUCGUCUAGAGUCUGGGAUGGGAAGAUGGAAUUAGUUGUGUAGGGGUAAAAUCCGUAGAGAUAACUAGGAAUACCAAAAGCGAAGGCGAUCUUCUGGAACAGUACUGACGCUGAGGCGCGAAAGCGUGGGGAGCAAACAGGAUUAGAAACCCUAGUAGUCC
Molecule: ribosomal RNA, 274 nt
Filed under: uncultured bacterium
Lineage: Bacteria
Description: partial 16S ribosomal RNA
Rfam family: Bacterial small subunit ribosomal RNA
Source: RNAcentral